AAAAGCGGGCUUCUGUUUACAUGCUCGCGCUCUAGGAUGGGUCCGCGGCCCAUCAGCUAGUUGGUAGGGUAACGGCCUACCAAGGCAACGACGGGUAGCUGGUCUGAGAGGAUGACCAGCCACACUGGAACUGAGACACGGUCCAGACUCCUACGGGAGGCAGCAGUGGGGAAUCUUGCGCAAUGGGCGAAAGCCUGACGCAGCGACGCCGCGUGGGUGACGAAGGCCUUCGGGGUUGUAAAGCCCUGUGGGGGGAGACGAACCGGGUCGUGGCUAAUAUCCAUGGUCCUUGACGGUAUCCCUUUAGCAAGCAUCGGCUAACUCUGUGCCAGCAGCCGCGGUAAGACAGAGGAUGCAAACGUUGCUCGGAAUUACUGGGCGUAAAGCGCGCGCAGGUGGUCCGGUAAGUCGGGUGUGAAAUCCCGGGGCUCAACCUCGGAAGUGCACUCGAUACUGCUAGACUUGAGUACUGGAGAGGAGAGCGGAAUUCCCGGUGUAGAGGUGAAAUUCGUAGAUAUCGG
Molecule: ribosomal RNA, 521 nt
Filed under: uncultured bacterium
Lineage: Bacteria
Description: bacterial SSU rRNA
Rfam family: Bacterial small subunit ribosomal RNA
Source: RNAcentral